CUGGUACUGCUGUAUUGAUCAGUUGGUUUUAUUAAUGUGUUAAAUUUUGUGGUUGCCACAGGAUCAUACUUUGUGAUAGAAGAGCUAAUAGCUGGAGAACUCUGCCAUGAAAGUCCCAAUCAGCCCAACCUUAGCAGGUAGAAGUGAAAAAACAGAAUUUGUAGAGAAAGAACACGGAAGUGAUGCCUGGAAGCAAAAGUAGAACUGGAUUGUUUUCUUGGAGCUCUUUGGCAUGGGGAAAGGAGCCCAACAUGCUCACAUCUCACUGAUUUGAACAGCAGCUGAAAAACUAAGGAGAAAAAUCAUCCCACUCUGGCCAUGGUCACAGCAAUGGGAGUUCAGCCCAAGGCAGCUGUGCCCUGCAGCUGCCCCUGAAGGUCAGCAGAGAGAGGAUACAACCACCACUCCCUGGGAGUGAAGGGCUCGUCACAGCCCCCAGCACCGCUGGGAUGGCGUGAGUGGGAUGCCAGCAGACAUCUCUGUAGGGUGCUA
Molecule: long non-coding RNA, 492 nt
Filed under: Cyanistes caeruleus (blue tit)
Lineage: Eukaryota; Metazoa; Chordata; Aves; Passeriformes; Paridae
Description: lncRNA (ENSCCEG00000018055.1)
Source: RNAcentral